Molecule: non-coding RNA, 72 nt
Organism: Cydia amplana
Lineage: Eukaryota; Metazoa; Arthropoda; Insecta; Lepidoptera; Tortricidae
Source: the annotation of a RefSeq genome assembly
GGUCAGCAAGCGGAAUAGGUAUCGCAUUGGACCGACAAUCCAGAGAUGUGGGUUCGAAUCCCACGUUGACCA